AAGCAACAUUGUGGCAGAUGAUCAAAACACUCUGACACAAUUUGCGCUUGCUAUAGCAAGAAAGUCUAACCUACUCCGGUGUUCUCUCCUCGGUAGGGCAAGCCAUUAUAUAGACUUAAACAGU
This is a small nucleolar RNA of Trichechus manatus latirostris (Florida manatee), 124 nucleotides long. RefSeq annotates it as small nucleolar RNA SNORA28. NCBI's taxonomy places the organism in Eukaryota, Metazoa, Chordata, Mammalia, Sirenia, Trichechidae. The record is from RefSeq and is a predicted model, not a curated record. The transcript has a single exon.